UCAGACGAUGUGUCAUGCAUAUCAAUAAGCGGAGGAAAAGAAACUAACAAGGAUUCCCCUAGUAACGGCGAGUGAAGCGGGAAGAGCUCAAAUUUGAAAUCUUAAAGGGUUUCCCUUUACGAAUUGUAGUUUAAAGAAGUGUUUUCUGUUGAGGUUUUGGUAAAAGUUCUUUGGAAUAGGACAUCAUAGAGGGUGAGAAUCCCGUAUUUGACCUUUACUUUCAACUUUGUGAUACACUUUCAAAGAGUCGGAUUGUUUGGGAAUGCAGUCCAAAAUGGGUGGUAAAUUUCAUCUAAAGCUAAAUAUUGGCGAGAGACCGAUAGCGAACAAGUACCGUGAGGGAAAGAUGAAAAGAACUUUGAAAAGAGAGCUAAACAGUACGUGAAAUUGUCAAAAGGGAAGCGUUUGACACCAGUGUUGUUUUUCUGAAAAUCAAUUAAAGAACUGUUUAUGCUAAGUUGUUUAGACUUUAUCAGCUAUCUGUUUAGGUUAUGAGCUUUUCUUAAUGCACUUUUCAGUUAACAAGUCAACAUCAAUUUCUUUUGCUGUAGAAAAGCUUGAGGAAGGUGGCUUGAGAUUCGUCUUAAGUGUUUAUAGCCUCUUGCCUAUGCAGUCGGAGAGAUUGAGGUCUGCAGCGUAGAUCCUUCGGGGCUAAAUGCAUUUGUGCUAAGUUAUAGCAUUUAUAGACAACUUGUUGACUAUGAUUUGUCUUGUAGCUUACUCGCUUAUGUUAUUUUACCUACGCUUAGGAUGUUGAAUCUGUGCGAGACUAC
RNAcentral lists this ribosomal RNA (773 nucleotides) under uncultured Neocallimastigales. RNAcentral's name for it is "partial large subunit ribosomal RNA". It matches the Rfam family "Eukaryotic large subunit ribosomal RNA", at positions 21 to 644 of the family's 3401-position model. The record is from RNAcentral. Lineage: Eukaryota; Fungi; Neocallimastigomycota; Neocallimastigomycetes; Neocallimastigales.